Molecule: ribosomal RNA, 301 nt
Filed under: uncultured bacterium
Lineage: Bacteria
Description: partial 16S ribosomal RNA
Rfam family: Bacterial small subunit ribosomal RNA
Source: RNAcentral
CAGCAGCCGCGGUAAUACGAAGGUGGCAAGCGUUGUCCGGAAUUAUUGGGCGUAAAGGGCUCGCAGGUGGUUUCUUAAGUCUGAUGUGAAAGCCCCCGGCUCAACCGGGGAGGGUCAUUAGAAACUGGGAAACUUGAGUGCAGAAGAGGAGAGUGGAAUUCCACGUGUAGCGGUGAAAUGCGUAGAGAUGUGGAGGAACACCAGUGGCGAAGGCGACUCUCUGGUCUGUAACUGACGCUGAGGAGCGAAAGCGUGGGGAGCGAACAGGAUUAGAUACCCCUGUAGUCCCUGUCUCUUAUAC